GUGCUUGCUUUGGGAGCACAUACACUAAAAUUGGAAUGAUACAGAGAAGAUUAGCAUGGUCCCUGAACAAGGAUGACACACAAAUUCAUGAACUGUUCCAUAUUUUU
Molecule: small nuclear RNA, 107 nt
Filed under: Castor canadensis (American beaver)
Lineage: Eukaryota; Metazoa; Chordata; Mammalia; Rodentia; Castoridae
Source: RNAcentral